AACCCUAAGUCCAUUUAAUUCAGCUUUCACUGCCAUUUUGUGUUGUCGCUUGCUGUAUUUGGUGUCUUUGAUUAAGGUGGAAAAUACAAAUUCAUCGGUAUUGAAUCUGCUGCGCCACUUGUUCAUGAAGGUGACAAGGUCUUCAGAUGGGAUCAGUCUCUGGCGCUCAUCUAUUUGUCCUGGUCUCCGCUGACAUUCAGGGCUGUAGAGAUCAUCUCUAGGUGCUGAUCCACUAUCUGGGCUGGGUACGGACUAUAUCCGGGUACCUGCAGUGACC
Molecule: long non-coding RNA, 277 nt
Organism: Labeo rohita (rohu)
Lineage: Eukaryota; Metazoa; Chordata; Actinopteri; Cypriniformes; Cyprinidae
Exons: 3
Source: RefSeq, a predicted model, not a curated record